AAUAGAUACCCUGGUAGUCCACGCUGUAAACGAUGAGUGCUAAGUGUUAGAGGGUUUCCGCCCUUUAGUGCUGCAGCUAACGCAUUAAGCACUCCGCCUGGGGAGUACGGCCGCAAGGCUGAAACUCAAAGGAAUUGACGGGGGCCCGCACAAGCGGUGGAGCAUGUGGUUUAAUUCGAAGCAACGCGAAGAACCUUACCAGGUCUUGACAUCCUCUGCCAACCCUAGAGAUAGGGUGUUCCCCUUCGGGGGACAGAGUGACAGGUGGUGCAUGGUUGUCGUCAGCUCGUGUCGUGAGAUGUUGGGUUAAGUCCCGCAACGAGCGCAACCCUUGAUCUUAGUUGCCAGCAUUUAGUUGGGCACUCUAAGGUGACUGCCGGUGACAAACCGGAGGGAGGUGGGGACGACGUCAAAUCAUCAUGCCCCUUAUGACCUGGGCUACACACGUGCUACAAUGGAUGGUACAAAGAGCUGCGAACCCGCGAGGGUAAGCCAAUCUCAUAAAGCCAUUCUCAGUUCGGAUUGUAGG
This 529-nucleotide ribosomal RNA is filed under the name uncultured bacterium. RNAcentral describes it as "bacterial SSU rRNA". It matches the Rfam family "Bacterial small subunit ribosomal RNA", at positions 777 to 1304 of the family's 1533-position model. The record is from RNAcentral.